Molecule: unclassified non-coding RNA, 500 nt
Filed under: uncultured Glomus
Lineage: Eukaryota; Fungi; Glomeromycota; Glomeromycetes; Glomerales; Glomeraceae
Description: SSU rRNA
Rfam family: Eukaryotic small subunit ribosomal RNA
Source: RNAcentral
CCAAUAGCGUAUAUUAAAGUUGUUGCAGUUAAAAAGCUCGUAGUUGAAUUUCGGGAUCAAUAUAUCGGUCGUGCCAUUGGUACGUACUGGUAUCAUUGGUUUCUCCUUUCUGACGAACCAUGAUGUCAUUAAUUUGGUGUUAUGGGAAGUUAGGACUGUUACUUUGAAAAAAUUAGAGUGUUUAAAGCAGGCUUUAGCUGGAAUACAUUAGCAUGGAAUAAUGAAAUAGGACGUUCGAACCUAUUUUGUUGGUUUCUAGGAUCAACGUAAUGAUUAAUAGGGAUAGUUGGGGGCAUUAGUAUUCAAUUGUCAGAGGUGAAAUUCUUGGAUUUAUUGAAGACUAACUACUACGAAAGCAUUUGCCAAGGAUGUUUUCAUUAAUCAAGAACGAAAGUUAGGGGAUCGAAGACGAUCAGAUACCGUCGUAGUCUUAACCAUAAACUAUGCCGACUAGGGAUCGGAUGAUGUUAAUUUUUUAAUGACUCAUUCGGCGCCUUACG